Molecule: ribosomal RNA, 1304 nt
Filed under: Escherichia coli
Lineage: Bacteria; Pseudomonadati; Pseudomonadota; Gammaproteobacteria; Enterobacterales; Enterobacteriaceae
Description: partial 23S ribosomal RNA
Rfam family: Bacterial large subunit ribosomal RNA
Source: RNAcentral
CAACCCGAUGCAAACUGCGAAUACCGGAGAAUGUUAUCACGGGAGACACACGGCGGGUGCUAACGUCCGUCGUGAAGAGGGAAACAACCCAGACCGCCAGCUAAGGUCCCAAAGUCAUGGUUAAGUGGGAAACGAUGUGGGAAGGCCCAGACAGCCAGGAUGUUGGCUUAGAAGCAGCCAUCAUUUAAAGAAAGCGUAAUAGCUCACUGGUCGAGUCGGCCUGCGCGGAAGAUGUAACGGGGCUAAACCAUGCACCGAAGCUGCGGCAGCGACGCUUAUGCGUUGUUGGGUAGGGGAGCGUUCUGUAAGCCUGUGAAGGUGUGCUGUGAGGCAUGCUGGAGGUAUCAGAAGUGCGAAUGCUGACAUAAGUAACGAUAAAGCGGGUGAAAAGCCCGCUCGCCGGAAGACCAAGGGUUCCUGUCCAACGUUAAUCGGGGCAGGGUGAGUCGACCCCUAAGGCGAGGCCGAAAGGCGUAGUCGAUGGGAAACAGGUUAAUAUUCCUGUACUUGGUGUUACUGCGAAGGGGGGACGGAGAAGGCUAUGUUGGCCGGGCGACGGUUGUCCCGGUUUAAGCGUGUAGGCUGGUUUUCCAGGCAAAUCCGGAAAAUCAAGGCUGAGGCGUGAUGACGAGGCACUACGGUGCUGAAGCAACAAAUGCCCUGCUUCCAGGAAAAGCCUCUAAGCAUCAGGUAACAUCAAAUCGUACCCCAAACCGACACAGGUGGUCAGGUAGAGAAUACCAAGGCGCUUGAGAGAACUCGGGUGAAGGAACUAGGCAAAAUGGUGCCGUAACUUCGGGAGAAGGCACGCUGAUAUGUAGGUGAAGUCCCUCGCGGAUGGAGCUGAAAUCAGUCGAAGAUACCAGCUGGCUGCAACUGUUUAUUAAAAACACAGCACUGUGCAAACACGAAAGUGGACGUAUACGGUGUGACGCCUGCCCGGUGCCGGAAGGUUAAUUGAUGGGGUCAGCGCAAGCGAAGCUCUUGAUCGAAGCCCCGGUAAACGGCGGCCGUAACUAUAACGGUCCUAAGGUAGCGAAAUUCCUUGUCGGGUAAGUUCCGACCUGCACGAAUGGCGUAAUGAUGGCCAGGCUGUCUCCACCCGAGACUCAGUGAAAUUGAACUCGCUGUGAAGAUGCAGUGUACCCGCGGCAAGACGGAAAGACCCCGUGAACCUUUACUAUAGCUUGACACUGAACAUUGAGCCUUGAUGUGUAGGAUAGGUGGGAGGCUUAGAAGUGUGGACGCCAGUCUGCAUGGAGCCGACCUUGAAAUACCACCCUUUAAUGUUUGAUGUUCUAACG